This 1335-nucleotide long non-coding RNA is filed under the name Cyanistes caeruleus (blue tit). Its description in RNAcentral is "lncRNA (ENSCCEG00000021268.1)". Lineage: Eukaryota; Metazoa; Chordata; Aves; Passeriformes; Paridae. The record is from RNAcentral.
GGCAAAUAAACCAAAGAACACUACUUUGUUUUUUUCCUAGAACAAAAGAAAUAACUUCUUGGUGCAGAGAUCUCACUUUGGCCUUUUUUUUCACAGCACUGCCUCCCAGGUGUGAUGAAGCCACCAGUCUUUGAUGACCAUUGCAGCCUCUUUUACCAGCCACAAGGUGAUGGUGCUAUAAACCAGUUUAGUUGAGGUAAUGCUCACACUGUUCUGGAGACCAAGCCAUUCUCAAGAGCCAGGAAAUCAGCAAGAGACCUAGGAAAACAAGUUACCUAUAGAGGCUUUAAAUCCAACACUAAGAGAAGCAUUGCUUUAUCUUCAAGAAAAUGUGGCAAGCUGGGAAAUAAGUAAUUCUGAAGGACAGAAACUUCCUGAAUGCACUUUCCAUCUGUCUGGUAGUUUUAUUAGCAACAAUCUGUGAAAAACAAACCUGUGCUACUGACAAGCCCCCAUGCCAGCUCAUUCCCCAGAGUAUCCAUCAAUAAUAUUCUGUGGAAACUAGAAAGAAGCCAGGACUGUGACAAAAGACCAGAGCAGCAAAAAUUUCCUCUUCUGGAAACACACAUCCAUGUCUGUGCUGGGCUACUCUCCUGCAGCUGAAGGCGACUCUGCAAGGUGAUCAACCCUCCUGAACAGCAGUGCUGCACGUGACUGGAAGAGCAGCAUUUCCCUGAACUCUGGGAGCAGCCAAACUCCUUGGCAUUCCUUAAGGGCAGGUGCUGUGAAUUCUUCUGGAGUGUGUACCAUACUUGUUCUGUAGAGUCGAGGGCUAAGAGACAGCAUUGACCAUGUUUAUCUCUCUCCUUUGGCAAAAGUAGUUGCUUCAUUUUGUUCACAUUAUAGUAGGGAUGAGAAGGGAAACUGGGAUGUUUCCACAACACCUUUGGUAGCAAAAAGAAUAAAGACAGGAAAGAGAGGUGACUGAAGAGGAAGAGGGCAUCAAACGGAAAGGAAACUGGAGGUGUCCAAAGAAGUCCCUUUCUUUCCUUAAAGUGUGUGCCUCUGCUAGGAUGUAAAGAAACAGGCAGAGGUAUAUAUUUAAUGGGAAAAUAUAUGUCUUCUCCCCUCCCUCUUCCACUCCCUGCAAGCAACUCAGUCUGGAGUGAGAGUCACAGAUCCUUUAAAGGACAGUGAGAACGCAUUUGCUUCUUCCUAAGGAGAAUGAACGUUGUGUGUAGAGCUGAAGAAAUUGCUAAGAACAGAGGAAGAAAAGAAGUUGGGCAGGAGAUGAGCUGGUAUCAGAGCUUAUAACUGAGCAUAUACAUUGCUCUAUUUCUUUAUUUUGUCUCAUCUGAUGUGGUGACUGAGGCGAGUGUGGUGAGCUCAAGACAU